AGCUGGCGGCAUGCUCAACACAUGCAAGUCGAACGGGGUCAGCAUACCCAGUGGCGGACGGGUGAGGAUACGUAGGAAUCUGCCCUUAAGUGGGGGAUAGUCCGGGGAAACUCGGUUUAAUACCGCAUGAUCUCGCAAGAGCAAAGCAGGGGACCGCAAGGCCUUGCGCUUUUGGAGGAGCCUACGUCGGAUUAGCUAGUUGGUAGGGUAACGGCCUACCAAGGCGACGAUCCGUAGCUGGUCUGAGAGGACGAUCAGCCACACUGGGACUGAGACACGGCCCAGACUCCUACGGGAGGCAGCAGCCAGGAAUCUUGGGCAAUGGGCGCAAGCCUGACCCAGCAACACCGUGUGGGCGAUGAAGGCCUUCGGGUCGUAAAGCCCUGUUGAUAGGGACGAAGGGCGAGGGGUUAAUAGCCCCUAGCCUGACGGUACCUUUCGAGGAAGCCCCGGCUAACUACGUGCCA
RNAcentral lists this ribosomal RNA (467 nucleotides) under uncultured soil bacterium. RNAcentral's name for it is "bacterial SSU rRNA". It matches the Rfam family "Bacterial small subunit ribosomal RNA", at positions 35 to 510 of the family's 1533-position model. The record is from RNAcentral.